Molecule: long non-coding RNA, 237 nt
Filed under: Gossypium raimondii (Peruvian cotton)
Lineage: Eukaryota; Viridiplantae; Streptophyta; Magnoliopsida; Malvales; Malvaceae
Description: long non-coding RNA (GRAI_LNC003615)
Source: RNAcentral
UAGUUUUCUAUUGGUGUAAGUGGAUAAUUCCUUAAAUAUAAUAACUAUAAUUAUAAGUAUAAUCCUAAUUUUAGAAAUUUCAUUGUAAUAAUCUAAAUUUGUCCGGCCCAAAUCAGAAAUAAAUAAAUAAACAAAAAUAUAAAUAAAAACAAAAAUUAUUAAAAGUCCAUCAGUCCAUAUUACAAACCCAAAAUACAUCAGACCCACUAAGCCCCAAUAUCACAACCCAAAUUAACC